This 433-nucleotide ribosomal RNA is filed under the name uncultured bacterium. RNAcentral's name for it is "partial 16S ribosomal RNA". It matches the Rfam family "Bacterial small subunit ribosomal RNA", at positions 29 to 507 of the family's 1533-position model. The record is from RNAcentral.
AACGAACGCUGGCGGCAUGCCUAACACAUGCAAGUCGAACGAGACCUUCGGGUCUAGUGGCGCACGGGUGCGUAACGCGUGGGAACCUGCCCUUAGGUUCGGAAUAACUCCCCGAAAGGUGUGCUAAUACCGGAUAAUGUCUUCGGACCAAAGAUUUAUCGCCUUUGGAUGGGGCCGCGUUGGAUUAGCUAGUUGGUAGGGUAAAAGCCUACCAAGGCGACGAUCCAUAGCUGGUCUGAGAGGAUGAUCAGCCACACUGGGACUGAGACACGGCCCAGAAUCCUACGGGAGGCAGCAGUGGGGAAUAUUGGACAAUGGGCGAAAGCCUGAUCCAGCAAUGCCGCGUGAGUGAUGAAGGCCUUAGGGUUGUAAAGCUCUUUUACACGGGAUGAUAAUGACAGUACCGGGAGAAUAAGCUCCGGCUAACUCCGUG